RNAcentral lists this long non-coding RNA (178 nucleotides) under Mustela putorius furo (domestic ferret). RNAcentral describes it as "lncRNA (ENSMPUG00000027956.1)". The record is from RNAcentral. Lineage: Eukaryota; Metazoa; Chordata; Mammalia; Carnivora; Mustelidae.
AUUCCACAGAGUCCUUAUGGCAGCUGGCUUCAGUUUUCCAUCUGGCAGAGUCCUGGUGAGCUCCAGAUCUCUUCGGGGAUUAAGAGUAAAUAGACAUUUCAUUAUCCAACAGAAAACUUCGUUACUUUAUAAAUGAGAUGACAUCACGCAAGACAAGCGACCAUUGCAGGACUGUCCA